This 654-nucleotide ribosomal RNA is filed under the name uncultured bacterium. Its description in RNAcentral is "bacterial SSU rRNA". It matches the Rfam family "Bacterial small subunit ribosomal RNA", at positions 122 to 779 of the family's 1533-position model. The record is from RNAcentral.
GAAUCUGGCUUAUGGAGGGGGAUAACUACUGGAAACGGUAGCUAAUACCGCAUAAGGUCUAAGGACAAAAGGGGGCGUAAGCUCUUGCCAUAAGAUGAGCCCAAGUGGGAUUAGGUAGUUGGUGAGGUAAUGGCUCACCAAGCCUGCGAUCUCCAGCUGGUCUGAGAGGAUGACCAGCCACACCGGGACUGAGACACGGCCCGGACUCCUACGGGAGGCAGCAGUGGGGAAUAUUGCGCAAUGGGGAACCCUGACGCAGCCAUGCCGCGUGAAUGAAAAAGGCCUUCGGGUUGUAAAGUUCUUUCGGUGAUGAGGAAGGUGAUAAGGUUAAUACCCUUAUUAAUUGACGUUAGUCACAGAAGAAGCACCGGCUAACUCCGUGCCAGCAGCCGCGGUAAUACGGAGGGUGCGAGCGUUAAUCGGAAUAACUGGGCGUAAAGGGCACGCAGGCGGAUUUUUAAGUGAGGUGUGAAAGCCCCGGGCUUAACCUGGGAAUUGCAUUUCAGACUGGGAAUCUAGAGUACUUUAGGGAGGGGUAGAAUUCCACGUGUAGCGGUGAAAUGCGUAGAGAUGUGGAGGAAUACCGAAGGCGAAGGCAGCCCCUUGGGAAUGUACUGACGCUCAUGUGCGAAAGCGUGGGGAGCAAACAGGAUU